RNAcentral lists this ribosomal RNA (484 nucleotides) under uncultured bacterium. Its description in RNAcentral is "bacterial SSU rRNA". It matches the Rfam family "Bacterial small subunit ribosomal RNA", at positions 28 to 524 of the family's 1533-position model. The record is from RNAcentral.
GAUGAACGCUAGCGGCAGGCUUAAUACAUGCAAGUCAAGGGGGUAGCAAUACAACCGGCGCACGGGUGAGUAACGCGUACACAACAUGCCAUAUACUGGGGUAUAGCUUCGGGAAACUGAAGGUAAUCCCCCAUAACAUUGCGAAUGGGCAUCUAAUUGCAAUUAAAGUUCCGACGGUAUAUGAUUGGUGUGCGUUUGAUUAGGUAGUUGGCGGGGUAACGGCCCACCAAGCCGACGAUCAAUAGCUGGCGUGAGAGCGCGACCAGCCACACUGGAACUGAGACACGGUCCAGACUCCUACGGGAGGCAGCAGUAGGGAAUAUUGGACAAUGGGCGAAAGCCUGAUCCAGCCAUGCCGCGUGAUAGAUGAAGGCCCUCUGGGUUGUAAAUAUCUUUUAUCUGGGAAGAAACUCCUCUAUCUUAGAGGCCUGACGGUACCAGAGGAAUAAGCACCGGCUAACUCCGUGCCAGCAGCCGCGGUAAU